CACUUCAAAAUUCUCUUCCGAUUAUUCCAGAACAGAAGCGUGUGAUUAAAUCUGGGUCUGUUGCUUCGAUCGUUGAACACAAACGCACAAAUCUCUCAGGAAAACAUAAUAAAGCUCGCUGAUCAGCCUAUCGCAGUAGAGAAGAUAGGGAUACUUGUUCAAAAAAGCUUCCAAGGUACUUCACGUUCAAAAGAAAUAUCUUUAAGCUGCAAAGACCAAAAGUUUCAGCAUACAAGGGUUGAGGUAAGUAUCUCUCUCUCUUACCACAAACUGGCCAUAGACUAGUCCUCUGGCCUGUGGCAUGUUCAUCAUGUAUUUUUUCCAUGUUGUUUUAUCCCAGAAAUAGAUCAAAGAUGGCAAAAACACAAAUUCACGCUCAAUCACAACAAAAUUCUAAAACACAAAUUCACGCUCAAACGAAAUUUAAACACACGAAAACAUAACACAAACACACUUCCAAACGCAUGCAUAUUCAAAAGAAAAAAGAAAACACAAUUCACGCUCAAUCACAGAAAAAAUCUAACUCAAACAGUAAAACUAAACAAUAGGAACAAAAAACUUCACAUUCCACGAAUUGAUGUGUAACUUGCAGGGAAGAGUCCUCUUCUGAUUCCCAGUUUAUGGAGGAACCAUGGACGGUAGAUUGGAUGACAUGGUCUUGUGAUGCUCGAAACUCGAUUAUUCUCGAACCAAUCAUUCUACCGAGCUUUUCUUCUUACAAGUCAAAUCAGACCAAUUCUGCAAAAAGCUUAACCUCUGUCAAGAAGUGACGGCCCUUGCUUCAGACUGUCACCAAACUCAAGGAUCCUGAGACAAAGCUGAAACUCCGCAUAUCUCUCAAGGUAUCCAGUCGCUAAACAAUUACCAGGAAAAGGUAGCUAACUAUAGAAUGCCCGCAAAGCUCAAAGUGCCUCAAACAUAUUAAUGAUUUUCUUAGCUGCUUCGAUAACCCAUUUCUGCCAUCUCCUGUGUGCUUGAAGGUGGUGUUUGAGUACGGCCUCUGAUGCUUGCGGAAGUUUCCCCAGGGGAAUCAACAUAAUACACACAGAAAAAGGCUCUGGUUGUGGAUGACAGUAACAGAAUCCCCUAAUCUUGAGCCUCAGUGAUAAGAUGGCCAAAAUCUCGUGAAUAUGGGAGACCAAGCAUUCUUUUAGUGCAUCCUGUUAAGGGUUUCAAGAUGAAGGAGUGUUUAGCUGCAAAGAAGAUCUGAAGACCAUUCAAAGGUAUGGUGAUUGAUGAAGUAGCUCACUCUCUCUCUCUCUCUCAAUCUUUCUCUCUCUCACUUAUCACAUCUCUUGCACUGUCUCAAAAACAGAACAUAAAUUCACGAAAACACACGCUCAAAUGCACACAAAAAAAUGAAACACAAACACAACUUAAACUCACUAAGACACAACGAAAUUCAAACACACAAAACCAAAACAUAGCACAGAACGUCCAAACAACUUCCAAAACAGAAAGCAAACUUUUACAAAAAUUCUUUAACCAAAAGUGUGGAUAAUCAUAUUUGAUGUCAAGAACUUGCUUUGUGAAUGUUCCACAUUUCUUACUCUUUUUUAAUAUAUUGCCUUAGAAUAGCUUCUAUUAACUUAUUUCUUGGUAAAUGGUUUCAUGAGAAAGAGGAAAUGUCUCAGAUGCGUUUCAACGUACUCAUGAAUGAUAAGAUGAUAGCUCCCACCGGUUCUGCCUCAAGAUUAGAGAAUGAAUAUAACUUAGUGUGAGCCUGCUGAUGUAUCUGUUAAGGAGUUGGUAAAUAGACUUGCUGAUGUAUCUAUUAAGGAGUUGGUAAAGAGACUUGAAGAAGGACUAACAACACUUAAAGACGUCAGUGAAAAAUUAAAAGUCUUGUGAAUAUGGGAGAGCCAAGCAUUUUCAUGUUAAGGUUAAAAGUAUGAAUGAGAAGCAACGGAUGUAACAGAGCAGCAAAGAAUCUUGGUGUAGCUGAGAACAAGUGACUCUUGGAUGACGUAACUGAGUUAGUUACGGUAACUCUCUCUUGCUCUCUCUCUCUUCAAAAAAACACAUCCAAAAAUGUUCCUUACACAACG
Molecule: unclassified non-coding RNA, 2048 nt
Filed under: Arabidopsis thaliana (thale cress)
Lineage: Eukaryota; Viridiplantae; Streptophyta; Magnoliopsida; Brassicales; Brassicaceae
Source: RNAcentral